RNAcentral lists this ribosomal RNA (433 nucleotides) under uncultured bacterium. RNAcentral describes it as "partial 16S ribosomal RNA". It matches the Rfam family "Bacterial small subunit ribosomal RNA", at positions 29 to 507 of the family's 1533-position model. The record is from RNAcentral.
AACGAACGCUGGCGGCAUGCCUAACACAUGCAAGUCGAACGAAACCUUCGGGUCUAGUGGCGCACGGGUGCGUAACGCGUGGGAACCAGCCCUUAGGUACGGAAUACCUCCCCGAAAGGGGUGCUCAUACAGGUUAAUCUCUUAGGACCAAAGAUUUAUCGCCGUGGGAUGGGCCCGGGUUGGAUUCGCUGGUUGGUAGGGUAAAAGCCUACCAUGGCGACGAUGCAUAGCUGGUCUGAGAGGAGGAUCAGCCAGACUGGGACUGAGACACGGCCCAGACUCCGACGGGAGGCAGCAGUAGGGAAUAUUGGACAAGGGGCGAAAGCCUGAUCCAGCAAUGCCGCGUGUGUGAUGAAGGCCGUAGGGUUGUAAAGCUCUUUUACCCGGGAUGAGAAUGACAGUACCGGGAGAAUAAGCACCGGCUAACUCCGUG